This 980-nucleotide ribosomal RNA is filed under the name Comamonas sp. SCN 65-56. RNAcentral describes it as "bacterial SSU rRNA". It matches the Rfam family "Bacterial small subunit ribosomal RNA", at positions 16 to 990 of the family's 1533-position model. Lineage: Bacteria; Pseudomonadati; Pseudomonadota; Betaproteobacteria; Burkholderiales; Comamonadaceae. The record is from RNAcentral.
AUCCUGGCUCAGAUUGAACGCUGGCGGCAUGCCUUACACAUGCAAGUCGAACGGCAGCGCGUCCUUCGGGAUGGCGGCGAGUGGCGAACGGGUGAGUAAAGCAUCGGAACGUGCCCGGUAGUGCGGGAUAGCUCGGCGAAAGCCGGAUUAAUACCGCAUGAGAUCCGAGGAUGAAAGCAGGGGACCCGCAAGGGCCUUGCGCUACUGGAGCGGCCGAUGUCAGAUUAGGUAGUUGGUGGGGUAAAGGCCUACCAAGCCUGCGAUCUGUAGCUGGUCUGAGAGGAUGAUCAGCCACAUCGGGACUGAGACACGGCCCGAACUCCUACGGGAGGCAGCAGUGGGGAAUUUUGGACAAUGGGCGCAAGCCUGAUCCAGCCAUGCCGCGUGCAGGAUGAAGGCCUUCGGGUUGUAAACUGCUUUUGUACGGAACGAAAAGCCCCCUUCUAAUAAAGGGGGGUGAUGACGGUACCGUAAGAAUAAGCACCGGCUAACUACGUGCCAGCAGCCGCGGUAAUACGUAGGGUGCAAGCGUUAAUCGGAAUUACUGGGCGUAAAGCGUGCGCAGGCGGUUAUAUAAGACAGAUGUGAAAUCCCCGGGCUCAACCUGGGAACUGCAUUUGUGACUGUAUAGCUAGAGUACGGUAGAGGGGGAUGGAAUUCCGCGUGUAGCAGUGAAAUGCGUAGAUAUGCGGAGGAACACCGAUGGCGAAGGCAAUCCCCUGGACCUGUACUGACGCUCAUGCACGAAAGCGUGGGGAGCAAACAGGAUUAGAUACCCUGGUAGUCCACGCCCUAAACGAUGUCAACUGGUUGUUGGGAAUUAACUUUCUCAGUAACGAAGCUAACGCGUGAAGUUGACCGCCUGGGGAGUACGGCCGCAAGGUUAAAACUCAAAGGAAUUGACGGGGACCCGCACAAGCGGUGGAUGAUGUGGUUUAAUUCGAUGCAACGCGAAAAACCUUACCCACCUUUGACAUGUA